AGCUGGUGCACAGUGAGUUCCCAGUCCCUCUCACUAACUUCACAGUGACUUUCUCUGCAGACAUACAUCCAGACUCCUGGUGAGACAUGCUGACUCAGGGAGGACUGCUCAGUGGAAGAGGACAGCACAUGGAAGGAGCCCAUGGACACAGCUGUCACCCCUCAGGGCAACAAAAUGCAAUUUCACCUCUGUUGUUUCAGGAGAAAGAUAACAGGAUUCAUGUGGGCCCAGGAAAGCAGCUGGCCUGGUUCUUGGGGACAAUGACUUAACAGCUGGAGUUGAUCUUCAUGGAAG
This is a long non-coding RNA of Oenanthe melanoleuca, 294 nucleotides long. RefSeq lists it as uncharacterized. The record is from RefSeq and is a predicted model, not a curated record. Lineage: Eukaryota; Metazoa; Chordata; Aves; Passeriformes; Muscicapidae. The transcript is spliced from 3 exons.